RNAcentral lists this ribosomal RNA (858 nucleotides) under Chloroflexi bacterium enrichment culture. RNAcentral's name for it is "bacterial SSU rRNA". It matches the Rfam family "Bacterial small subunit ribosomal RNA", at positions 28 to 904 of the family's 1533-position model. Lineage: Bacteria; Bacillati; Chloroflexota. The record is from RNAcentral.
GAUGAACGUUGGCGGCGUGCCUAAUACAUGCAAGUCGAACGGAGAUUGUAGCAAUACGGUCUCAGUGGCGAACGGGUGAGUAACGCGUUGGUGACCUGCCCCGAAGUGUGGAAUAACAGAUCGAAAGAGCUGCUAAUACCGCAUAAUAUCCAGGAGAUUAGAUGCUUCUGGAUUAAAGGAUUUAUCCGCUUCGGGAGGGGCCUGCGUCCCAUCAGCUAGUUGGUAAGGUAAAGGCUUACCAAGGCGAUGACGGGUAGGGGACCUGAGAGGGUGGCCCCCCACAAUGGAACUGAAACACGGUCCAUACACCUACGGGUGGCAGCAGUAGGGAAUAUUAGUAAUGGGCGAAAGCCUGAACUAGCAACGCCGCGUGUGCGAAGAAGGCCUUCGGGUUGUAAAGCACUUUUUGAGAGGAUGAGGAAGGACGGUACUCUCAGAAUAAGUCUCGGCUAACUACGUGCCAGCAGCCGCGGUAACACGUAGGAGGCGAACGUUAUCCGGAUUUACUGGGCGUAAAGCGCGUGUAGGUGGUUUGGUAAGUAGGGCGUGAAAGCUCCUGGCUCAACUGGGAGAGGACGUCCUAAACUGCCAAGCUUGAGGAUGGUAGAGGGAGGUGGAAUUCCGGGUGUAGCGGUGGAAUGCGCAGAUAUCCGGAGGAACACCAGUGGCGAAGGCGGCCUCCUGGACCACCCCUGACACUCAGACGCGAAAGCUAGGGUAGCAAACGGGAUUAGAGACCCCGGUAGUCCUAGCCCUAAACGAUGUAGACUUGGCGUCGGUGGUUUAAUCGCCAUCGGUGUCGUAGCUAACGCGUUAAGUCUACCGCCUGGGGACUACGGCCGCAAGGUUAAAACUCAA